UGGGGAAUUUUGCACAAUGGGGGAAACCCUGAUGCAGCGACGCCGCGUGAUUUAGAAGGCCUUCGGGUUGUAAAAAUCUUUUCUAUGGGAAGAAAAUGACAGUACCAUAGGACUAAGGACCGGCUAAUUACGUGCCAGCAGCCGCGGUAAUACGUAAGGUCCGAGCGUUGUCCGGAAUCAUUGGGCGUAAAGGGUACGUAGGCGGGUAAGCAAGUUAGAAGUGAAAUCCUAUAGCUCAACUAUAGUAAGCUUUUAAAACAGCUCAUCUUGAAGUAUGGAAGGGAAAGUGGAAGUCCUAGUAUAGAAGUGAAAUGCGCAGAUAUUAGGAGGAAUACAGGUAGCAAAGGAGACUUCCUAGCCAUAACCUAACACUGAAGUACGAAAGCGUGGGUAGCAAACAGG
Molecule: ribosomal RNA, 402 nt
Filed under: bacterium
Lineage: Bacteria
Description: partial 16S ribosomal RNA
Rfam family: Bacterial small subunit ribosomal RNA
Source: RNAcentral